UAUAUAUAUUCCAUUUUAUUUUACCCCACGUGGAUAUUCCCGAACAUUAUCCUUAACUCCCUUUUCAAAAGAAAAAACAUUAGUAUUACAUUAUUAUAUAUAAAAGACUAGAAGAAAAAACUAAACCUGCCGCCAUUGACUUUAUCAACAAAAAAAAAAAAAACCUGCCACCAUUUUACUAGUUGUUUAGUUCUUCACUUCUUCUUCACAAGCAUAUAGUGCUAUUGAAAUAACCACAAAAAUAUCAAUCCCACAAUACAAAAAUAUUCAAGAAAAAUAAAUUGAUUAAAAUGGAGUCUAAUCCUCAUCAUACCCAACAAAAACCACAUGCUGUAUUUGUACCAUUUCCAGCACAAGGUCAUGUGAACCCAAUGAUGCAACUAGCCAAACUCUUCCGUUGCAAAGGUUUCCAUAUAACCUUUGUGAACACUGAAUUCAACCACAAACGUUUGAUAAAAUCUCUUGGAGCUGAGUUUGUGAAGGGUCUACCAGAUUUUCAAUUUGAGAC
RNAcentral lists this long non-coding RNA (508 nucleotides) under Medicago truncatula (barrel medic). RNAcentral describes it as "long non-coding RNA (MTRU_LNC006826)". The record is from RNAcentral. Lineage: Eukaryota; Viridiplantae; Streptophyta; Magnoliopsida; Fabales; Fabaceae.